UUAUAAAUCAGAAGCCGCCAUAGGGGGAAAAAUAUUUCAUGCAAUGUUUAAUGCAUUUACAGGAAUCGAAUUGCUGGAAAAUCAAAACGUAGACCUGAAAGCGGAAUCGAGAAGCUGAAGUCGGAACGACAGCAGCUGGUCGAGAUGCUCUCGGGACACCAGAAACACUGCAAGAAAAACCACCGAAUCACCACUCUGACCGAGGAAGAUUUCGCCAACGACCCGGAAUUCAUCUCAACGGACCUCGGGACGAACCCCUUCCACCGGGAGACGCAACCCUCGCCACGACCCCUAUGGAGCCCGGCAAACCCGAGGCCGUGAGCCACGGGCCCAGCACCUCUGCGCAUGCGCAGUACACGAUGGACUACUCCGCGCGGGAGUUCCCGCCGUCCGAGACGGUGCCCGGAGAGGAUUAUGUCUAUCCAGGCUCGGAAGUCUACUUCAGCAAUCCUGAUAUCAAACCACCCAUUGGCAUCAUUCCAGGCGCGAACUAUUACGAGCGGAGCUACAACGCGACGACGCAUCCGAGUUUCCCGGCGUACUCAGUGCCGACGGGAGUGGCGGCCCACGGUUCGCCGUUCGCCCACUCAGAGUACGACAGCAACGUGGAGCUGAUGAGCCCGGCCAGCACGGGCACCUCCGGCUACACCGACUACUCCACCAGCGACGCCUCCAACUUCUCCCAUUUCCCCGUCCCCUGCGCCACGUCCCCUCCCGAGGAGUACCCCCAAUCCCACCCAGGUACAACUGCGUCUACGAGAUCAACCCAUAGCGCCGGGUCCCCAUUUCGACCCAGCGACAUAAUCAGCAUGAAAUACGGAAGAGUCUUAAAUGGACCGCGUUUAACAGAAAGGAACCAAGCCACAUCAGCUAUUGCCAAAUUUAACAGGGCAAUUUAACUGUUACGAGAGAACGCUUGUGGGGAUUCCAUUGAAAAUUUUAAGGAAUUUGCUUCGUACUGUAAAAAAAAUCCACUGAAAUUUGCACGAAAAUCCGCACAACACUGGAAAAAAAACACAUUGGAUCUAGAGUCCAGACUCUUGAAAACAUUGACAAGAAAAAAUACUCUUGAUUCAAUCAGAUUUUCGCUUAAAUCAAAAGGAAAUCCGCUCAAAUUAAGAGGCUUAUAUUAGGUUCUUGAUUUAAGCAAAAAUCCGAUUGAAUCAAGAGUAUUUUUUCUUUUCGAUGUUUUUAAGUCUGGGCUCUAGAUCCAAUGUGUUUUUUUCCAGUGAACCGUUUUCAUGUAAAAAAUCAAAGUGCCCAAUUCAAUUUGGCAAUAUCUGAUGUGCCUUGGUUCCUUUCUGUUUAACGCGGUCCAAAUGGUGUGUUGGAGCAAUGCACUUCUGUUUGACACAGAGUGGAAGCAACGACUUCAGGCUAGCAAACAGUAGUAGGCUAAUAUCUGUGAGCAGAUUAUUAAAAUUGAUCGACAAAGCGAAAGACAAAGAAGAUAAAGGGCGAAAUGCGUAAAUCCAAUUCAUUGGAAUUAAUGAGAUCGCCGACGGCGGUGUUACUGUAGACUAACAGGGAAAAUGAUGGACUAGCUAAACAGUUUCUCGUGGGUUGCAGUUAGUCAGUCUAUCACUUACCCCCUCCAUUGUCCAUUACAACCACCCACAUCAACCAAUAGGAUUUACUAUAUGUCCUCUUUGUCUAUCAUGUUCAAUAAUCAGCCCUCCGCUCAAGUGCAGGUUGCGUUUGAAUAGAAUCUUUGUUUCAAUAUCGCUGUCCUCAAAUGUACAUCUUAAUUUUAAAGAAAAUGGAGAUACUCUAGUAAUUUAAGUGCAAAAUGUUUCGAUUAAUCCUAGUAGUUAGGAUUGUUGGACAUGGCAAAAUUCCAAAUGCCACAUAGCAAUAUAGUUGUCUUGCAAACAUACUUCCAGUUUUGCUGAGAAAAAAAACUCAUUGUGAAAAAAAAAAAUUCACUCAGUAAGCCUCUGCAGCCGUUUUGGUGAAUACUUUACGAUCAAGAUCGAGAUGGUUUAAAAAUUCGCCCUUACGUCGCUGCUGCCACACUGUAACACCCCCCUUCCUCCCGCCGCCGCCCCCUCCUUGUGAAGCAUAUUGUAUAAAUAUUUAUAACUAACAGCAAUUUAAUAUAUCGUGAACCGUCACGUAUCCAAAACUCAAUGAAGAUUAAAUUGAAUUAAACGUGUUUAAGAAGAAUCUGCAUGUAUACUGGCAUUCAAGUUUACUCACGAGUAAGUGUCCGCAAAAAUUUUUCUUCAGGAGAAGUUAAAAACUUCCUAUCUACUGACCACGGCGAUGAGUCAACCAUAUUUAUACCCCCAAAGAUUACAAUUCAUGUUACCUCUUUUUAUGUUUUUCCCCUGUGCCAUUGUCUUCGCAGUUAGCGACUCCGUUCAAGCCAUAAUGUAACUACUCAAAGUUAAAAAACAACAAAAGAUUCUGCCAAAGAUAUUUACCUAAUGGUCAUUUCGACUUAGUGACAAUCUGAAGCAAUUCAAGUUAUUAUGAGUUGUUUCACAAAGAAUGGAAGUGUUCCUAGAAAUUGCUUGUUUCGUCGGUUACCUCAGUGAUGAGCACAGUAAAAGGAGUUGCUGUUAAGUAUUUGUAUGCUGAGACAACUGUUUUUAUUGUUUGAUUAUUUGUUUUUUCUUUCUAUUUUUUUUUACCAACUUUUAUUUUUUCACCCCUCUCCCAGUGUUGUAUUUAUUCAAGAGCUUCAAAAGCUUGAGGCGCCUUUUUCCUUCAGAAAAUUCACAUUUCUCCGUUUCUCCAUCUCUUUUUGGCCCCCAUAGAGUCACAAAUCGCUACACAGAUUACAUUUCCAUAUCAAAUAGCAAAGAUUACCAUCCAAAAUGGACCAAGUGACUUUAAUACCGAGUUGAUACGCUCCGAAUGUGAGCUCAAAACAGAGGCAUCGAUGAUUUUCCCAACCUUCUCGUUGGCCCAUGGUGCAAUUAGGGUUCAUCGAUGACCGUAUUUGCAGCGUGUAACUCCGCAAAAGGUGAGAAAAAAAUUAGAGAACGAAUGGAGCAGAAAAAUUAGGAAAUGCCUUAAUCAAAGAUACCGAAAAAAGGUACGUAAUCUUUUUGACGUUUUUUGCAGUCAAAACUUGAGAUACCUUAACUUCCCUCAUGAAUGACUCUGCUGAAACCUUUUGGCAGUGUCGUUAAUUGGUAGAAUUCAAUGAAUCGAUGAUCAUUUAAACCCAUAUCAAAUCAAGCCAAUAGUUUGACCACGUUGAGCAGGAGGGAACGACGUCAAAUCAGCCGUUGUCAAAUUUCAUCAAACGACUGGAGAUCGAUAGUGUACAUUUUUGUGAAAAUUCCCGAGGACUUCUUUUAUGAUGUUAAACAAAUUCCCUGAAAUUUUUGAAAGAGACCACACAACUAAUCUCCUGUAAAGAAAUAAAUUGUUUGAUGAAAUUUGGCAAUGACUGAUAGGUACUCGUAUGACUUGGCUCUUCCUGCUUGAUGCGGUGCUGUUUGGAGACUCCAGCGCAUGAGUAGAAAAAACAUCCUUAAAUCCUUGAAUUUGUUUAAGAUCAUAUCUAUCUAGCUACAUAUCUGCGGCACGAGACUAAUGAUCAAAACAGAUGUUUGGGGUUUUUUAGACAAACCUCAUCGAUAAAAAAAUGGAAUAUAUCAAGAUAAAAUCUAACUGAAAAAACAGUUAUGCUCUCCCAGUGAUUCUAGUAAAAUCUCAGCAGUUGUUCAAAAUUGAGAAAAAUGGACGUAAUUACGAUAAACGAAAGUCAAUUUUUUCAUCAAAAAGAUAAGAGGAAGGCAUUAGGUAAUUCAAUCUUUUGAUAUUAUGACAAUUCUUUGCACACCCUCAACAUUUUAUUCCAACUGGUGUUACUGAAUAUCGUGGAUGUCUCCCAAUAUUGUGGUGGAUCUUUUGAUGUGUUGCCUUCUAUAGGGCAGAUAGGACCUCAAAGUAUACGCUUAUGCCCCAUUUGUAUUAAAAUGUUACCGAUGUUUGAGUUAUACCUACCUUGUAUACAGCAUUAUUCAUUCAAUUAAUAUUUACCAAGUACAUAUAAUAAGUUUUCUAUUUAUGCUGUUGUCUUCGUACUGUAUACUUUUUUCUUAGUUCUCUAUUAAUAGAAAAAAUGUAUGCUAUUUUUUUCUCAGAGAGAGGCCCUUGAAACUUCAUAAGACGUUGAGUUCGCCGUAAAGUGAAGAACAAUCUGUAAAUCCACCACCUUACCUUAAACAAAUUGAUUACUUAGGUAUUUUCCAAAAUAGAUACCUAAUAAAUUUUACUCUGUCUCAAACAUCUUAUUGUAAUUUUUCUACAUGUAUCGAAGGAGAGGUUCAGAAGGGAUUUCAUCUGAAAAUAAAUAUAGAGAUCUUAAGGGACAUAUGAAAAUUUUCUUCGUUGAUUUUAUUUUGAGUCGGCUGUUGCCUAUUUGACGAUUCUCUUUUAUUUGUAUCUGGUAUCCAGAAUUAACCAUCUUUGUUAAAAUGUAUUUAUAUAUGAUCUUCCCUUGCUUUUGCUGAAUUUAUGUACGUAACCUGCAUCUUCUUAAUAUGGCCUUUUCAUUGUGUAAUGUAAAUGCUCAAUUUCUAAAAUCAAAAAAUUUUUUUUGCUUAAUUGAACUUAAUCGUUGUACCGUGUCUAGGUCAAAAUGAAAUAAAAUCAAAAAGCUCCAGAAAUUGGAAGUUCAAAAUUGCUGUGUAAAUAUUUAUAGCUUUACGAAAACCUGCGAUUGUAUAAAAUCCGAAUUUCUGUGAUAUUAUGAGUUAAAAUAAGUGAACCAAAAGCAUAAAUAUUACAAUUUUUAUCCUGUCCAAAGGAAUAUCAAGGAAAUGUUUAUUUUUUUUGUUAAAGAAAUAAAUACAUUUUUUUUUACUGCUUAUUAUGCUUUCAAUUACUGUCUCCCUACGUCGCACACUGGCGGGUGGGCGGAAACAAUUCAGGAGAUGGACAAAUUUUUUUCCAACCCAGAAAGCAGAAGUAUCUGAAUGAUUUUGUAGCUUAUGCUACAGACUAUCAAGUUGUAGCAUCAAUUUUAUUUACUCUUCCCUCAAUGAUUUUCAAACAGACCCUUGUCGGGCAUCGAAGGAAAUAGCUACUUUUGGUGCUAAAGUGGUCUUCGCCUAUAAGUCAAUAGCAAGAUUUUAUUUUCAAAAACCGACAUUAUACUCUGUAAGUGUGUAGUCUAAUUGUAAGCUACAAAAUUAUAUAUUAACAUGCUCAUAAAAAU
RNAcentral lists this long non-coding RNA (5179 nucleotides) under Bemisia tabaci. RNAcentral's name for it is "lncRNA ENSSSA1NGG001057". Lineage: Eukaryota; Metazoa; Arthropoda; Insecta; Hemiptera; Aleyrodidae. The record is from RNAcentral.